GGGUUGUGAGGUUAAGCGACUAAGCGUACACGGUGGAUGCCCUGGCAGUCAGAGGCGAUGAAGGACGUGCUAAUCUGCGAUAAGCGUCGGUAAGGUGAUAUGAACCGUUAUAACCGGCGAUUUCCGAAUGGGGAAACCCAGUGUGUUUCGACACACUAUCAUUAACUGAAUCCAUAGGUUAAUGAGGCGAACCGGGGGAACUGAAACAUCUAAGUACCCCGAGGAAAAGAAAUCAACCGAGAUUCCCCCAGUAGCGGCGAGCGAACGGGGAGCAGCCCAGAGCCUGAAUCAGUGUGUGUGUUAGUGGAAGCGUCUGGAAAGGCGCGCGAUACAGGGUGACAGCCCCGUACACAAAAAUGCACAUACUGUGAGCUCGAUGAGUAGGGCGGGACACGUGGUAUCCUGUCUGAAUAUGGGGGGACCAUCCUCCAAGGCUAAAUACUCCUGACUGACCGAUAGUGAACCAGUACCGUGAGGGAAAGGCGAAAAGAACCCCGGCGAGGGGAGUGAAAAAGAACCUGAAACCGUGUACGUACAAGCAGUGGGAGCACGCUUCGGCGUGUGACUGCGUACCUUUUGUAUAAUGGGUCAGCGACUUAUAUUCUGUAGCAAGGUUAACCGAAUAGGGGAGCCGAAGGGAAACCGAGUCUUAACUGGGCGUUAAGUUGCAGGGUAUAGACCCGAAACCCGGUGAUCUAGCCAUGGGCAGGUUGAAGGUUGGGUAACACUAACUGGAGGACCGAACCGACUAAUGUUGAAAAAUUAGCGGAUGACUUGUGGCUGGGGGUGAAAGGCCAAUCAAACCGGGAGAUAGCUGGUUCUCCCCGAAAGCUAUUUAGGUAGCGCCUCGUGAAUUCAUCUCCGGGGGUAGAGCACUGUUUCGGCAAGGGGGUCAUCCCGACUUACCAACCCGAUGCAAACUGCGAAUACCGGAGAAUGUUAUCACGGGAGACACACGGCGGGUGCUAACGUCCGUCGUGAAGAGGGAAACAACCCAGACCGCCAGCUAAGGUCCCAAAGUCAUGGUUAAGUGGGAAACGAUGUGGGAAGGCCCAGACAGCCAGGAUGUUGGCUUAGAAGCAGCCAUCAUUUAAAGAAAGCGUAAUAGCUCACUGGUCGAGUCGGCCUGCGCGGAAGAUGUAACGGGGCUAAACCAUGCACCGAAGCUGCGGCAGCGACACUAUGUGUUGUUGGGUAGGGGAGCGUUCUGUAAGCCUGUGAAGGUGUGCUGUGAGGCAUGCUGGAGGUAUCAGAAGUGCGAAUGCUGACAUAAGUAACGAUAAAGCGGGUGAAAAGCCCGCUCGCCGGAAGACCAAGGGUUCCUGUCCAACGUUAAUCGGGGCAGGGUGAGUCGACCCCUAAGGCGAGGCCGAAAGGCGUAGUCGAUGGGAAACAGGUUAAUAUUCCUGUACUUGGUGUUACUGCGAAGGGGGGACGGAGAAGGCUAUGUUGGCCGGGCGACGGUUGUCCCGGUUUAAGCGUGUAGGCUGGUUUUCCAGGCAAAUCCGGAAAAUCAAGGCUGAGGCGUGAUGACGAGGCACUACGGUGCUGAAGCAACAAAUGCCCUGCUUCC
RNAcentral lists this ribosomal RNA (1573 nucleotides) under Escherichia coli. Its description in RNAcentral is "partial 23S ribosomal RNA". It matches the Rfam family "Bacterial large subunit ribosomal RNA", at positions 1 to 1609 of the family's 2925-position model. The record is from RNAcentral. Lineage: Bacteria; Pseudomonadati; Pseudomonadota; Gammaproteobacteria; Enterobacterales; Enterobacteriaceae.